RNAcentral lists this ribosomal RNA (483 nucleotides) under uncultured bacterium. Its description in RNAcentral is "bacterial SSU rRNA". It matches the Rfam family "Bacterial small subunit ribosomal RNA", at positions 8 to 526 of the family's 1533-position model. The record is from RNAcentral.
AGAGUUUGAUCCUGGCUCAGGACGAACGCUGGCGGCAUGCUUAACACAUGCAAGUCGAACGCAUCAAAGCUUGCUUUGAUGGCUGAGUGGCAGACGGGUGAGUAACACGUGGGAACUUACCCUUUAGACUGGGACAACCACUGGAAACGGUGGCUAAUACCGGAUACGCCCUGAGGGGGAGAGCAGAGAUGCGCUAAAGGAGAGGCCCGCGGCAGAUUAGGUAGUUGGUGGGGUAAAGGCCUACCAAGCCUGUGAUCUGUAGCUGGUUUGAGAGGAUGAUCAGCCACACUGGGACUGAGGCACGGCCCAGACUCCUACGGGAGGCAGCAGUGGGGAAUAUUGGACAAUGGGGGAAACCCUGAUCCAGCAAUGCCGCGUGAAUGAAGAAGGCCUUAGGGUUGUAGAGUUCUUUUGUCCGUGACGAUAAUGACGGUAGCGGACGAAUAGCCCCUGCUAACUCUGUGCCACCAGCCGCGGUAAUAC